This is a long non-coding RNA of Triticum dicoccoides, 3608 nucleotides long. RefSeq lists it as uncharacterized. NCBI's taxonomy places the organism in Eukaryota, Viridiplantae, Streptophyta, Magnoliopsida, Poales, Poaceae. The transcript is spliced from 4 exons. The record is from RefSeq and is a predicted model, not a curated record.
CUCUCGUCUGUCGCUAUUGGUGCUCGACAGAAGACAGCGGCGGUUCGUCCCGGCAAUUCCUCGUGGUCCUCGACAGCGGCGACUAGGUGGUGCUGUUUGCCGCCGCUGGUCCCGCGUGCACGUGCGUCGCCGUCGCUCUGUUUUGCCGCUGCUGCUUCUUGUCGGCCUAUACUGGUGCUGAUGUUCAUGGCCGGCCCAUACUGCUGCUGUUUGUUUGUGGCCCUGUGUGUUCUUGCUGCUUACACGUGGUCAGCGGCAGACGUGGUGGAAGUGCUCGCUGCUGCUCGGCUCCACUUGGGCUCCGUCGUUCAGCCUUGGCGUGGGCCUGGGCGCCGCUGUCUUUACUGCUGCUCCCCGCUGUUGCCCAUCAGCUAGCUGGUGCCGACCUUGUCCGCUGCUCAUAGAGGAGCGCCACCGUCUACUGUCGUGCAAACAAGGGAUGAGAUUGAGUUCUUCGCGUGUGUCUGAGUUCGUGGCAAAUAGGCACACAAGGGUAUACUUGUCCAGUGCAUUGUGCAUGUAAUAUGUUUGUCAUUUGAAAUUAUUUUUUGUGUAGAAAAUGGCAAAAAAUCAAAUGGCAAACAAAAGAGUGGCAAAAGAUCAAUUACAAUCUAAGCAGUGGCAAAUUGUCAAAGUCCAAAGUAAGUAGUGGCUGAAAAUUAAAUCGCCCGGAUGUGAGGGUGGAGGCGCAUGCCGUGGUGCAGGAUGUUGUGGUGUCUGAAGCACCUGAGGUGUCGGAGCCAGAGGUGAAGAGCGAGGAGGUGGUGGUCCGGGACACAACCAAGAUGCAUUCUGCGCAUCAACCAGAGACCAAGGCAGAGGAGGUGCUGGUCCGGGAUACGGACACAAAUGUUGUGGUGUCAGAACUACAAGCAAAGAGUGAGGUGUCAUGGUCUCGUGAGGCAGGUGGUGCGCAUACUACAGAGGCACAAUGUUUCUGCUUGUUUACCAUCCAUCCCUAACAUUUUGAAGCUGCGAUGUCUCAUUACGCGUGGUGUACAGAGAUGUAUUCAGCAGAUCAACAAGGCGAACAGAGGCAAACUUACCCCGGAGGAACUGAAAGAGAGACAGGGCAAAGCUAUGCAGGACCCUGAAAUCCAGAACAUCCUGACGGACCCUGUGAUGCAGCAGGUGUUGAUUGAUUUCCAGGAGAAUCCAAGGGCUGCCUAGGAUGGCUCGGGAGCACGAACGCAACGGCGGACGCGAUUGGGCAUCGUUGGGUUCAGUGAUUGGAGACGUGGCCAUUCAUCCCCGACGGAUCUGUGCCGCCACAGCCUGAGAAAGCCUAGAGAAGGGAGGGUACGGACGAGCACCUAUAGGACAACCCGCCAUCACGACCAGCGAUUGUCUACUCCGACAAUAUCCCUGUGGUCAUAGUCGAAUCCUCCUGUCCUCUCGCGCCGUGUAUAGUCAGACUUAUUUGCAUGCGCCAUAGGUUUUAUGAACAUGGAGGUGUAGUCACCCGAGGUGCAGAAGCUCCAUCACCUAGCUCUACCUCCUCCACUACGCUGACAAGUAAGCUAAUCCCUUCUCAUCUACAUUGCUUCCUCCCUGCCUGUGAUUUAUUACUUCGAGCCUGCUGUUGUUUUAUCAUAUAUACAGACUUAUCUAUGUUUAAGUGUGACCAUUAGCUUAUGGAACAGGAGAAACAAAGUGUUCUUUAGCAGAUGCAAACCUUUCCAUGCUAGAAUUGGACCAAGAAUUACUUGUGUUGCCUGUUUGGUAUGUAUAAACAUAAUUUUCUUGGAUGUCAUAGAAAAAUCAUGCUAUAGCAUAAUUUUUAAUAUUUGUAACUUGGAAUAAGAUCAUGAAAGUAAUAGAGCGCUUCUUGAAUGCAUGGAAACAAAAAAAGGAUAUCUCAGAGUCCAUAUGUCAUAUAUUCUGAAACUAGUGCACAUGGAUAUGUAUAUUCUUGGUUAGUUUUUGUUCUGUUUCUAUUGUAUAUGCUCUAAGAGUCUAAAAGAAGAUGGGGUAGCGCUACUUGAUUUCCUGUAAAAUUUCAGUAACAGUCAAGCAAUAGUGACCAUUGAGUCAAAGCUCAUGUCGAUGGUCGAUUAUUGACUGUUGCACUUAUAUAGAGUGCACCCAUAUAAUAUCUGCUGGUUUAUCUGACUUAUUUGAUCUAUAUGUUGUUUUUACGAGCAACAUGAAGAUAAAAACAAUCUCAAUUAAGUUCACACAAUUAUAUAAUUUUGGUUUGCUGAAAGGUAAUGCCAUGUCAUUUCAAUACUACUUAUCUGGUUUGCGUCUGUUAUUUACUGGUCUAUCUUAAAUAAGGAACUAAACUUUUGUGUUGAUUUACUUUUUGAGGACAUUUAGUUAAUGAUUUUCCUUAUGAUCCUUCUCCUUACUAUAAAUUCAACUAAUUUAAGUUUCAUCUUCCAAAGUUGUAUAUACCCCAAAAAGUACCUAGCGAAAAGAAAAUCAGAGAGAUAGACAUUUGAAAAUCAAACCUUUCUGGAAAAAAUUCCAUGUCGACAGUAGGCUUCAUAUAAAUGCAAUAAAUCCAUUAGCUGAUGCGUCCUAUCAUUAGCUCUUAUCAAUAAUUCUAUUAAAUUUUGAAGCUGACCUGUCCGCCCAUUGGCUUUGGUUGCCACAACAACGGAUUGCUUGGGAUACUAAUAGGAUGGCUUGGGAUUUGGGAGUACGAUUCCCAAACGUGUUACUAUCAUAUUUGGCUUGCAGUGGUUGUGCAGGAGGAAGAUGUUGCUUGAUUGGAGUCCCUCGGAGCCUAGCAGUGCUGCUCAGCCCUAUGCAUUCCAUUGGUCGCCUCAGUAGGUAAUUGGGAUCCUCACGCUACCAAUUUGGUCAUCCCUAGGAAACAUCAAGGAGAUGAUGAGACUGCAUCUUGAGAAGAAGCAUUAUUUACAACUCAGUAUUAUGUCAUGCAUGGAAGAAGCACUCAAUCUUAUUACUAACUACUUCCUCUGUACACAAAUAUAGGACGUUUUAGACUGAACAUAGAAGUCUCUAAAACCUCUUAUAUUAGUGUACAGACAGAGUAAUAACAUGUAAACAGUGUGUUGCGUUCCUAUUUGAUCGUGGAUUUCAAGCAUACUGCUAACAAAAUGUUGGAGAGCUUGGCAGGUUUCAACUAAUUCAAAACAUGCCAAUACUAAAUUUCUAGCCUUCAUAUUGCCAUGUAUAUCCCAUAUAAAUUUCUAAUGUUUAUGAUUAGUAUAACUACAUUUAGCAGUUGUUGCGAGCGAAACACAAUUCGGUAGAGCAAAUUAGUUGUUGUUGGACUCAAAACAGUAGGCGCCAAUUUGCUUUUGUGCAGUGGGUGGGGAGAAAUUAUAUAUGGUAGAAGCCAACCUGGUCGUUUAUGUUAUUUGUUGGACGACAUUAUUUAUCUGUUUGGUUACUUGUGCAGAACUUUAUUUGAUUGCUGAAAUUGAGCUUGCAUUAGCAGUUUUUCUUUUUGAAUGUAGUCCCGGUAAUUCUUUCAGUUGGGAGAUUAAACCCUAAAUGAGUUAUUAUAUUCAUCAGUGAUUGUUGCUUGACUUUCGCUAGAGAUUUUUUUCAUAAGAAAUGGGUGUUGUAAAUGAAGGAUUCCAUUCCCCACUUUAAUAAUAUUUGAGGGACUAUAUAUAUUCAUGGUAUAUAUU